ACCUGUGUCCUUGGAGGUAUGUCGUAUCCUCAGCUGCAAUGAAGAAUGGAGGCAGAACAAGUGGAGGGGCCCAUACCAAAAACAACCCCUUGGUUUGACCAUGACUCCCUGUGAAGCCUCCUUCAGGCUAUCCUCAUGCCACAUGAUGAAAAGAAAAGGGGACCUCCUUGCCAGACCAUAGCAGACUGGAUCGAGGUCACUAGCUGUGGGAUCAUGCACAUUACUUGGUACAGUGCCAUAAAGACUGAAUGACCUCUUGCUCUUGACCAGAUGAAAUGGUACAUCUUGUUCAUAAGACGGCAAGGGUUGGAAGCAGCAUGCCAUACUUUACCUUUUUAACUCCUGUUGGAAAAGAAAUGUUGAGUUUGUCAAGCAAUCAAUGAUGUGGCACCACUGGCCUUGGAGAGGUCAGAGAACAGCCCACAGGAUAGUGAGAUUCAAAGAGCCCACAUCUACCUUCUGCAAAGACUGAGCUGAAGGAAGUUAGAGCUUCCGACAUUGGCCUCAAACUGGGUUUACAGGUGGCUGUGAAAGGGGCAGUGAUCUCACAACUGGUGCUGACAUCACAACCGAUUCCCAGUCUGCCUCUCAUCAA
Molecule: long non-coding RNA, 595 nt
Organism: Rhincodon typus (whale shark)
Lineage: Eukaryota; Metazoa; Chordata; Chondrichthyes; Orectolobiformes; Rhincodontidae
Exons: 3
Source: RefSeq, a predicted model, not a curated record